UUUCGGUCUGUAUAAAUAGCUUCCUUUUUAAUGAUCAUAUUCUGGAGGAUCGCCUGUCUGCCUGCUUGCUGCCCUACUAAGUAUCUACUCUGACGACAUAACAUUUAUAUUCUCCAGCAUGACAUCUGUUACCGUCCUUGCUUUGAUAGCAGGUACAACACUGCUGCACCAAGUCUCACAAAUUAAUUCACAACAUUGUGACAGUGGUUGGACUUAUGUUUCUGAUGGCUGGUACAGAUACAUUUCCACAAAAAUGAUGUGGGCCGACGCAGAGGUAAUUAAUUAUUUAAGGGA
This is a long non-coding RNA of Protopterus annectens (West African lungfish), 294 nucleotides long. RefSeq lists it as uncharacterized. The record is from RefSeq and is a predicted model, not a curated record. The transcript is spliced from 3 exons. Lineage: Eukaryota; Metazoa; Chordata; Ceratodontiformes; Protopteridae.